UGAGGAAUAUUGGUCAAUGGGCGCGAGCCUGAACCAGCCAAGUAGCGUGAAGGAUGAAGGUCCUACGGAUUGUAAACUUCUUUUAUAAGGGAAUAAAGUCAUCUACGUGUGGGUGUUUGUAUGUACCUUAUGAAUAAGCAUCGGCUAACUCCGUGCCAGCAGCCGCGGUAAUACGGAGGAUGCGAGCGUUAUCCGGAUUUAUUGGGUUUAAAGGGAGCGUAGACGGGUCGUUAAGUCAGCUGUGAAAGUUUGGGGCUCAACCUUAAAAUUGCAGUUGAUACUGGCGUCCUUGAGUACGGUUGAGGCAGGCGGAAUUCGUGGUGUAGCGGUGAAAUGCUUAGAUAUCACGAAGAACCCCGAUUGCGAAGGCAGCCUGCUAAACCGCCACUGACGUUGAGGCUCGAAAGUGUGGGUAUCAAACAGGAUUAGAUACCCUGGUAGUCCACACGGUAAACGAUGGAUACUCGCUGUUGGCGAUAGACUGUCAGCGGCUUAGCGAAAGCGUUAAGUAUCCCACCUGGGGAGUACGCCGGCAACGGUGAAACUCAAAGGAAUUGACGGGGGCCCGCACAAGCGGAGGAACAUGUGGUUUAAUUCGAUGAUACGCGAGGAACCUUACCCGGGCUUGAAUUGCAGACGAAUUGCUUGGAAACAGGCAAGCCGCAAGGCGUCUGUGAAGGUGCUGCAUGGUUGUCGUCAGCUCGUGCCGUGAGGUGUCGGCUUAAGUGCCAUAACGAGCGCAACCCUCGUGUCCAGUUACUAGCAGGUUAUGCUGAGGACUCUGGACAGACUGCCAUCGUAAGAUGUGAGGAAGGUGGGGAUGACGUCAAAUCAGCACGGCCCUUACGUCCGGGGCUACACACGUGUUACAAUGGGGGGUACAGCAGGCAGCUACCGGGCGACCGGAUGCCAAUCCCGAAAGCCUCUCUCAGUUCGGACUGGAGUCUGCAACCCGACUCCACGAAGCUGGAUUCGCUAGUAAUCGCGCAUCAGCCACGGCGCGGUGAAUACGUUCCC
This 1017-nucleotide ribosomal RNA is filed under the name uncultured bacterium. RNAcentral's name for it is "bacterial SSU rRNA". It matches the Rfam family "Bacterial small subunit ribosomal RNA", at positions 355 to 1375 of the family's 1533-position model. The record is from RNAcentral.